This 301-nucleotide ribosomal RNA is filed under the name uncultured bacterium. RNAcentral's name for it is "partial 16S ribosomal RNA". It matches the Rfam family "Bacterial small subunit ribosomal RNA", at positions 509 to 807 of the family's 1533-position model. The record is from RNAcentral.
CAGUCGCCGCGGUAAUACGAAGGGGGCUAGCGUUGCUCGGAAUCACUGGGCGUAAAGGGUGCGUAGGCGGGUCUUUAAGUCAGGGGUGAAAUCCUGGAGCUCAACUCCAGAACUGCCUUUGAUACUGUCGAUCUGGAGUAUGGAAGAGGUGAGUGGAAUUCCGAGUGUAGAGGUGAAAUUCGUAGAUAUUCGGAGGAACACCAGUGGCGAAGGCGGCUCUCUGGUCUGUAACUGACGCUGAGGCUCGAAAGCGUGGGGAGCAAACAGGAUUAGAUACCCCCGUAGUCCCUGUCUCUUAUAC